UACGUAGGGGGCGAGCGUUGUCCGAAGUUACUGGGCGUAAAGAGCGCGCAGGCGGUCGAUCAAGUCGCGUGUGAAAGCCCCCGGCUCAACUGGGGAGGGUCACGCGAUACUGAUCGACUCGAAGGCAGGAGAGGGUAGUGGAAUUCCCGGUGUAGUGGUGAAAUGCGUAGAUAUCGGGAGGAACACCAGUGGCGAAGGCGACUACCUGGCCUGUUCUUGACGCUGAGGCGCGAAAGCUAGGGGAGCAAACGGG
RNAcentral lists this ribosomal RNA (253 nucleotides) under uncultured bacterium. RNAcentral describes it as "partial 16S ribosomal RNA". It matches the Rfam family "Bacterial small subunit ribosomal RNA", at positions 524 to 776 of the family's 1533-position model. The record is from RNAcentral.